UUUGAUCCUGGCUCAGGAUGAACGCUAGCUACAGGCUUAACACAUGCAAGUCGAGGGGCAGCAUUGGAGUAGCAAUACUUCAGAUGGCGACCGGCGCACGGGUGAGUAACACGUAUCCAACCUGCCGCUUACUCGGGGAUAGCCUUUCGAAAGAAAGAUUAAUACCCGAUGGUAUAAAGAGUUCGCAUGUUCUCUUUAUUAAAGAAUUUCGGUAAGCGAUGGGGAUGCGUUCCAUUAGAUAGUUGGCGGGGUAACGGCCCACCAAGUCUACGAUGGAUAGGGGUUCUGAGAGGAAGGUCCCCCACAUUGGAACUGAGACACGGUCCAAAUCCUACGGGAGGCAGCAGUGAGGAAUAUUGGUCAAUGGGCGAGAGCCUGAACCAGCCAAGUAGCGUGAAGGAUGACUGCCCUAUGGGUUGUAAACUUCUUUUAUAAGGGAAUAAAGUGAGGGACGUGUCCCUUUUUGUAUGUACCUUAUGAAUAAGGAUCGGCUAACUCCGUGCCAGCAGCCGCGGUAAUACGGAGGAUCCAAGCGUUAUCCGGAUUUAUUGGGUUUAAAGGGAGCGUAGGUUGACAUAUAAGUCAGCUGUGAAAGUUUACGGCUCAACCGUGAAAUUGCAGUUGAUACUGUAUGUCUUGAGUGUACAAGAGGUGGGCGGAAUUCGUGGUGUAGCGGUGAAAUGCUUAGAUAUCACGAAGAACUCCAAUUGCGAAGGCAGCUCACUGGGGUACAACUGACACUGAGGCUCGAAAGUGUGGGUAUCAAACAGGAUUAGAUACCCUGGUAGUCCACACAGUAAACGAUGAAUACUCGCUGUUUGCGAUAUACAGUAAGCGGCCAAGCGAAAGCAUUAAGUAUUCCACCUGGGGAGUACGCCGGCAACGGUGAAACUCAAAGGAAUUGACGGGGGCCCGCACAAGCGGAGGAACAUGUGGUUUAAUUCGAUGAUACGCGAGGAACCUUACCCGGGCUUGAAUUGCAGAGGAACAUAGUUGAAAGAUUAUGGCCGCAAGGUCUCUGUGAAGGUGCUGCAUGGUUGUCGUCAGCUCGUGCCGUGAGGUGUCGGCUUAAGUGCCAUAACGAGCGCAACCCUUAUCAUUAGUUACUAACAGGUCAUGCUGAGGACUCUAGUGAGACUGCCGUCGUAAGAUGUGAGGAAGGUGGA
RNAcentral lists this ribosomal RNA (1166 nucleotides) under uncultured Bacteroides sp. Its description in RNAcentral is "bacterial SSU rRNA". It matches the Rfam family "Bacterial small subunit ribosomal RNA", at positions 12 to 1177 of the family's 1533-position model. The record is from RNAcentral. Lineage: Bacteria; Pseudomonadati; Bacteroidota; Bacteroidia; Bacteroidales; Bacteroidaceae.